RNAcentral lists this ribosomal RNA (440 nucleotides) under uncultured bacterium. RNAcentral describes it as "partial 16S ribosomal RNA". It matches the Rfam family "Bacterial small subunit ribosomal RNA", at positions 338 to 795 of the family's 1533-position model. The record is from RNAcentral.
CCUACGGGUGGCAGCAGUGGGGAAUAUUGGGCAAUGGAGGAAACUCUGACCCAGCAACGCCGCGUGAAGGAUGAAGGUUUUCGGAUUGUAAACUUCUGUCGCGAGGGACGAAGAAUGACGGUACCUCGUCAGAAAGCCCCGGCUAACUCCGUGCCAGCAGCCGCGGUAAUACGGAGGAUGCGAGCGUUAUCCGGAUUUAUUGGGUUUAAAGGGUGCGCAGGCGGAUUUUUAAGUCAGUGGUCAAAUCGUGGGGCUCAACCCCAUCCAGCCGUUGAAACUGGGGAUCUAGAGUGUGCGAGAGGUAUGCGGAAUGCGUGGUGUAGCGGUGAAAUGCAUAGAUAUCACGCAGAACCCCGAUUGCGAAGGCAGCAUACCGGUGCACAACUGACGCUCAGGCACGAAAGCGUGGGUAUCGAACAGGAUUAGAUACCCCGGUAGUC